Molecule: ribosomal RNA, 413 nt
Filed under: uncultured bacterium
Lineage: Bacteria
Description: bacterial SSU rRNA
Rfam family: Bacterial small subunit ribosomal RNA
Source: RNAcentral
AAUGAACGCUGGCGGCGCGCCUAAUACAUGCAAGUCGAGCGAGAAGACGUAGCAAUACGUUUGUAAAGCGGCGAACGGGUGAGGAAUACAUGGGUAACCUACCCUAGAGUGGGGAAUAACUAGCCGAAAGGUUAGCUAAUACCGCGUACGCUCCUUGGACUUCGGUUCAGGGAGGAAAGCGAUGCCGAGGGUAUCGCGCUCUUGGAUGGGCUCAUGUCCUAUCAGCUUGNGGUGAGGUAACGGCUCACCAAGGCUUCGACGGGUAGCUGGUCUGAGAGGACGAUCAGCCACACUGGGCACUGCGACACGGGCCAGACUCCUACGGGAGGCAGCAGUAAGAAUAUUGCGCAAUGGGCGAAAGCCUGACGCAGCGACGCCGCGUGGGGGAUGAAGGUCUUCGGAUUGUAAACCCC